RNAcentral lists this ribosomal RNA (306 nucleotides) under Pseudomonas aeruginosa. RNAcentral describes it as "bacterial SSU rRNA". It matches the Rfam family "Bacterial small subunit ribosomal RNA", at positions 1046 to 1352 of the family's 1533-position model. Lineage: Bacteria; Pseudomonadati; Pseudomonadota; Gammaproteobacteria; Pseudomonadales; Pseudomonadaceae. The record is from RNAcentral.
UGGCUGUCGUCACCUCGUGUCGUGAGAUGUUGGGUUAAGUCCCGUAACGAGCGCAACCCUUGUCCUUAGUUACCAGCACCUCGGGUGGGCACUCUAAGGAGACUGCCGGUGACAAACCGGAGGAAGGUGGGGAUGACGUCAAGUCAUCAUGGCCCUUACGGCCAGGGCUACACACGUGCUACAAUGGUCGGUACAAAGGGUUGCCAAGCCGCGAGGUGGAGCUAAUCCCAUAAAACCGAUCGUAGUCCGGAUCGCAGUCUGCAACUCGACUGCGUGAAGUCGGAAUCGCUAGUAAUCGUGAAUCAA